This 400-nucleotide ribosomal RNA is filed under the name uncultured bacterium. RNAcentral's name for it is "bacterial SSU rRNA". It matches the Rfam family "Bacterial small subunit ribosomal RNA", at positions 355 to 772 of the family's 1533-position model. The record is from RNAcentral.
UGGGGAAUCUUGCGCAAUGGGGGCAACCCUGACGCAGCCAUGCCGCGUGAAUGAUGAAGGCCUUAGGGUUGUAAAGUUCUUUUGCCCGUGACGAUGAUGACGGUAACGGGAGAAUAAGCUCCGGCUAACUUCGUGCCAGCAGCCGCGGUAAUACGAAGGGGGCUAGCGUUGUUCGGAAUUACUGGGCGUAAAGCGCGCGCAGGCGGUUCGAUAAGUUGGGGGUGAAAUCCCCGGGCUCAACCCGGGAAUGGCCUUCAAGACUGUCGAGCUAGAGGACGAGAGAGGUGAGUGGAAUUCCCAGUGUAGAGGUGAAAUUCGUAGAUAUUGGGAAGAACACCGGUGGCGAAGGCGGCUCACUGGCUCGUUUCUGACGCUGAGGCGCGAAAGCGUGGGGAGCAAA